Molecule: ribosomal RNA, 308 nt
Filed under: uncultured bacterium
Lineage: Bacteria
Description: partial 16S ribosomal RNA
Rfam family: Bacterial small subunit ribosomal RNA
Source: RNAcentral
GAGACAGCAGCAGCCGCGGGAAUACAGAGGGUGCGAGCGUUAAUCGGAUUUACUGGGCGUAAAGCGUGCGUAGGCGGCUUUUUAAGUCGGAUGUGAAAUCCCUGAGCUUAACUUAGGAAUUGCAUUCGAUACUGGGAAGCUAGAGUAUGGGAGAGGAUGGUAGAAUUCCAGGUGUAGCGGUGAAAUGCGUAGAGAUCUGGAGGAAUACCGAUGGCGAAGGCAGCCAUCUGGCCUAAUACUGACGCUGAGGUACGAAAGCAUGGGGAGCAAACAGGAUUAGAUACCCCAGUAGUCCUGUCUCUUAUACA